UCCCUGGUGGCUCAGUGGUAAAGCAUCUGCCUGCCAGUGUAGGAGACACAGGUUCAAUCCCUGAUCCAGGAA
This 72-nucleotide transfer RNA is filed under the name Bos taurus (domestic cattle). It matches the Rfam family "tRNA". Rfam says of the family: Transfer RNA (tRNA) molecules are approximately 80 nucleotides in length. RNAcentral also lists the same sequence under 5 other names. Lineage: Eukaryota; Metazoa; Chordata; Mammalia; Artiodactyla; Bovidae. The record is from Rfam by way of RNAcentral.